ACUCGUCUGAGCGAGUAUAAACACCAUUAGGCUCAGAGCGUCCCUUCCCAAGAGAGAAAACCCUAUAGGCUCGUUGGGAAGGGGGUUGGA
This 90-nucleotide ribozyme is filed under the name unclassified sequences. RNAcentral describes it as "pistol ribozyme". It matches the Rfam family "Pistol ribozyme". The record is from RNAcentral.